Doryrhamphus excisus (bluestripe pipefish) is the source of this 2644-nucleotide non-coding RNA. The record is from RefSeq and is a predicted model, not a curated record. Lineage: Eukaryota; Metazoa; Chordata; Actinopteri; Syngnathiformes; Syngnathidae.
UUAUUUCAAAACGACCUCAAAAACAUGACAGAAGUACAUAAUCACCAAAUGAACUGUAGUCAUUUUAACUACUAUUUGAGUUGAAUUGGCAUUAUUGUAUUAUUACGAUGGAUGUCAACCUGUUGUACUGGAAAAGCCACGGACAGCCUUUGUUUAGUCGUCUGAAGAUCUGGGUGAAUCUUCUGGAUCCAUCCUCCUUGGGCGCAUCAGAGAUGAGCAUGCUCCAUCGUGAGCAGGACAGUACUGUAUCUGCAGUGAUUGAUUGGUAUUGAAUCAAUGAUCCUGCUCCCAUCAGGCUGAAAUACAAAAAGCCCGCACCCUUCUUGGAAGUGGGGAGAAGGUCGACAAAAAGAUUAGCUAUGCUCACCACUUUUUUGCGCACUCACUGCAACAAGUGUAUUGUUCUGUUUGCCCUGCUUCUUCCUGUAGGAUGACUAUGAAUGGAACAUCACUCUUUCGUCUGUCCAUGCAGAUUCUGGUUCAGCACUUCCACUGGUUUUCCGCCCUCCAGUGAAUGCUUCCUGCUUCCAGAGGAGCUCCCACCAUGGCACCUUGACAUCCAUGUCCUCCCCAUUGCUGACUGGAAUAGGAUGGUGAUUCUGGGAGCUGGCCAUCAUCGUGGGACUACGACUGCUGAUGCAUUCCUCCCCCGUUCUUUUAACCCUCUGUCCUUACUUCACCGCUGUCUACCUACCAUCUGUCCCUCUAAUCUAUCUCAACUCAAACGGUCGAGACAGAAGGGCCACCCCAUACAGCCUGGGUUCUGUCCAAGGUUGCUCAAAGAGUUUUUCUUUGCCUCCAUUGCCAAGUGCUUGCUCGUGUGGGGUUCAGUUGGUUCUCGUUAUAAAGCUUGUGAUUCUAUAUCACUUCCAUAUGACAAUUUGAAUUGGCACUAUAUAAAAUUUAAUUGGCACUUCUUCUUCUCUGGCUCUCAACGAAGUCUUGUCUUGUCUAGUCUCGUCUUAUACUUUCUCAAGAGCCUCUCACUGCACUGCCCUCCAAAAACCUAAAUCAUGGAAUUGAUCAACUGGUCCUCCAUGCAAUUGACACGAUCUUCUCGACGAGAAGCUCAGGUACGGGGGAACCUGCCUGCCCUGACGGAACGUACACCGCUGGGUACGUGAUGGACAGUUGGGGAAAGUGGAAGGUCAUGUGCCUGGCGAUUCUUUCCGUGGAGGACAUCAAAGACGUCUACCUAUUCGGGACCAUGAUAACAGGUCUGUUGCUGAUUGGAUUGGGCACUUUCCUAAUGUAUCGCAAAAUUCGUAUGAUGAAGGCAGCGGAUCGAGUUGGCCCACAGCUGCCAAUUAUGAAUGAUUUGGUGGGCAAAGCCAUUCACACUCUGACUGUGACUGGCAAUCACAACAAGGAUGCCAUCUUGGUGAAGAUUUCGGCUUUGCAAAAGCAGUUGGAUCAAUUAGGAGGCCAGAAUGGACAAUAGGGUGGUCCGGUCUAUUGGAAUGUGGCUGCCCGAACUAACCCAAACAAUAUUCUUAAUCUGGAUUUCGACGUCCCCACCACGGCUAACCAAGGUCGUGUUGUGAAAACAACUUCUUCCAAGAGAUUGCUGCAGCAGGACGCUCUGACCGUCCUUCAUUCCUUACGGACACCUGUUGUUUCUCUUCUCUUGCCCCAACACAGACUUCUCCAUGGCAACUGCUAUGUAUCGCAAUUACACCCUGCGAACUGAGCUCCAGGUGGGCGGGGGAAGCGCCCCCCCAUGACAGGGGCCACGGCCGUAAGUGGCUGCAGGUAAGCCGGGCUGGCCGCUGCUCGUAUCGGCUAUUUUCCCUUCGUGGCGCUGGUCUUGUGUCUAUGUGUGUGAACAAUGUCUUUUAUUUGUAUGCCAAGGUUUUUUAACACGCUGUACUCCUUCAUUUCAGAGUCUAGUUUGGAGUUGUUUUUUUCCCCUCCCCUUUCCUAGUGUUGUCCCCCCUUCUCCCCCCCUUCAUUGCUCAAUCAUCCCGUCCUGUCACCCCUUGUCUCACUGCAUAGUAUGUUGUAUAUGUAUGGACGGAAGAUUGCACAAUUUCACUUGUACUCCUGUACAAGUGACAAGAAUAAAGGGCCUACUACUACUACUACUACUACAUAAAAGAAAUUGGCUUGACUUGACAUAACUGCUUUUGUCAUUUCUGCAUGUUUAGUACAUAACUCAACAAGUGUUCGUUCAUAGCUUAGAGAAUCUACAACACAGUCUCUGCUGCUAUCCAGCAAAACACUCCACCCACGUUGACCCCGACUGGACCACACAGACAUGCUUCACAGACCAAGGACCCAACCAACAAUCCGAAUCCAGGCAAACAGCACAAACUGAUAAAUACAAUAAAAUGGGGUAAAUACAAACAUGAAUUCCACUUACAUUUUAGAUAUGGUAAAGUACUUAAAAUAGAAAUUAUACAAAAUGCAUGUAUCAAUUCUAUAUAUACCAAAGCUUUCUACCUGCUUCGACAUAUGUAAUAAGUAAACAACUACUCCUAACAGGAUUGGUUUUUACUAUACAUGUGAGGUACAUACUUCUAUUAUGUGUACACAUCAGCAAUUAUGACUAUAUACAUAUAAAGAUGAAAUUCCUUGUGAUGAAAAAAAGAUGAAAAAUUGCAUUCAUUCAUUCAUUUUCUACCGCUUUUCCUCACGAGGGUCG